GUUAUAACUGUACCAUAGUAUUAUUUGAAUAAAUGCUUGGUUACCUCUGACUCAUUGUCUUUGCAGGUAACACCAAUAAGGUUUAAAGGGUUUCGACAUACUGUAGAGGUCAAGCUAUUGUCUUACAUAAGUCUCUAUUCUGGGCUAUAGACACUAUUUUUAGCCCUUGUGGAAUGUGUUAUUGUGUUUGGAUUUGUCUUUCAAUGUUAACUCUGUGGCAUUCAAGCCGUAUCACUAAUGCGCUUUGACCAGAAGCAUACUUCACACAAGUAUGUGAACGGAGACAUGAGUGUUCGGUCGGUUCAUUAAAAAUGCUAAGCAUGCAACCAUACUAGUGUGACACAUCUGAGGACAGUUAAAGGGAUAGUUCACCUAAAUGCAAACACUUCAUCAUUAUUUACUCAUCCUCAUGCCGUUUGAUCCCGAAAGUCUCUCUUUGUUUUUCAGAACCCAAACACAGUUGUUGUUUUGGGUUUUCUUGUUACUAUGGGAGUGGAUGGUGACGCCUCUUUAAGCUUCAAAAGGACCCAAAAGUGCCAGGACGCAUACAUUAUGUAUCACAAGUCAAUUGGAGUUAUAAAUGUAACACUUCUGGGUCCUUUUAAAGCCUUUAAAGGUUUUGAAAACCCAAAACAUUUCUUUCUCAAAAAAUCUGUGUUUGGGUUUGUAAAGAACCAAGAAAAACAUUUUGGGUUUAAACAACAUGAGGGUGAGUAAAUAAAGGUAUACUAUCCCUUUAACGUGUCCUGUGCUUUGUUGUGAAAUCUCUUGAAGCACGUCAGUCACAGAAAGAUUAAGUAAGCAUGGAGGAAAAGUACACAACACCACAAAAAUGUGUUUAGUGCCAUUCGUUUGGAAAUGUUAUACUUUUAUCAGUAAAUAUUACCCAUAUAUUCCAAUUUAAUAGACUUAAAUUUUAUUUAUAAAAUUUUUAUACAAACCCAAAAACAGAGCUUAAUGUCACACAUCUGAGGAACUUCGGCACAGCUCUUAAAUAUUAUCUUAUUUGAAAGGGUCAUGAUUAACUCUUUCCCUGAAUCCGUAUUACCGCUAUUAUCCACCAGGUGGCUUAUAAAACCCUGGGAUAACAGCUGUAUGUCCAUGUAUGUUUUGAGGAUUGCUCUGAAUCUGAUCUUCAUCAAAAGUCCUUCACAAAAAUGGAAUUAUCUCAGCUUUUUGCUUACAAUUUGGUGUUUACAGUUUUACAUUAUACGGCACCUUUAACAGUGAUUUUGCAUGGGUAUUUAAACCACCAAAUAUUUACAUGUAAGAUAUCAGCAAAAACUUUUUGGGUAAAAAAUGUACUUUUCAUGAUAAGGUUGACAUUUACAUGUAAUUGCCCAUAGCCAAAUGUGCAUAUGAAUUACACUUGUGAAGAAUAUCAGUUAAUAUCAGCUUAAGUUUCAGGUUGUACGUAUGCACAAACCUAAUAUAUGACUUCUUUACUGUCAUGUGUAUUAUUUUUAGCACCAUGGACACUGUUGGCUUUCACUUAAAAACUUUGCAUAUCAAUUUGCGUCUAAAACAAGAUCCUUAUUUAGUUUUCAUGAUUAUUUUAGAAGCCGAUCUCUCACCCUUACAAUUAAUCGGCCUGUUUGUGUUACAUUUUUUAUAAUUAAUAUUAAAAUAUAUUAAAAUAAAAAAAGCAUUUAAAGUGUUAACAAAGCUCAACUGAGGAUGAAAUUACCUAACCAUGUUUGAAUUUAAUAUGUUUAAGAUGUAUGCAAAGAAUUUAACAUGUAUGCAAAGAAUUUAACAUGUAUGGUAAGAAUAUUUAACAUGUAUGUAAAGAAUUUAACAUGUAUGUAAAGAAUAUUUAACAUGUAAAGAAUUUAACUACAGUAAAUUAACUAACUAAAGUUGUUACUACUGUAGAUUAUGAAAUGAGAAAUGGGUACAUCCAUAGACAUCCUUGCGGUAUAAGUGAGUCUCUGAGGUAAUUUACAUUUACUGUUAUGAAUUUGACAGAAGAUUUUAUCCAAUGACUUAUAGUGCAUUCAAUGUAUGCAGGCACGUGCACAGAUAGGGCUCAACCUGUGCAGAACACAUGCCCUUUUUGUCCUUACACUCCGAAGUGCCCUUUUUUGGAGGUGUUUUAUUAUUUUUUUAAAUAUAUAAAUUAAUGCUAUUGUUAAACAUUUACGUCUAUCUGUGUGUUUUACAAAUAUAUUUAUCAAAUAAAAUUAUUAAAAACUAAAUAUUUUUGGAUCCGCUCAAACUGUCUGUCAAACCUCUUAACUCCGCCCCCUGAGUGCAGCGAGCUGAAGUUCACAGCAGUCAGAGGCAGCUGAACGUCUUACAACGAGCCGAAUUAUCCAUAGACGGGAUUGGUCGAGUGGGCAAUCAGGGGACACUAAGGGCUCCAAACUGCAGCAAGGGCGAGUAGCAUCUGCCUGCACAAGCGGAGGCUGCAGUUUCGGGACCGCAGUCAUAGGACCGCAGUUAUAGGACCCUAGGUUUUUAGUGACAACGCCACCUAGCGAACUAGAGGACCAACAAAGAUGGAUGACAAGCAGAGUUGAAGUGGAGGAAUUUAAUCGAAUCAUAGACAAACAAUUGAAAAAAAGAGGGGAGAGCAUCCAGUUGCUGCUGCAUACAUCACAAUGUGUGCUUUAAAUAUUUAAUAUUUAUAUUUAUCUAUCUCUCUCUAUCAUUAUUUUUUAUCUGCUCAGAUGUGCUUUAUUGACAUGAAUGUUUCAAGAACCUUUGAUCCUGUAAUGAACACUAUGCAAUACUAAUAUGAACAUUACUUGGUAUGAAGAUUGAUAUAAUUUUGUACCGUAUAUAAUGUGUGUGCUCUGUGGUGACUAAAAUCUUUAAAGUUUGAAAUCAAAAAUUAAAGAGUUGUUGAACAUGUUCAACUAAAUGUU
Paramisgurnus dabryanus is the source of this 2870-nucleotide long non-coding RNA. RefSeq lists it as uncharacterized. The record is from RefSeq and is a predicted model, not a curated record. Lineage: Eukaryota; Metazoa; Chordata; Actinopteri; Cypriniformes; Cobitidae.